RNAcentral lists this ribosomal RNA (433 nucleotides) under uncultured bacterium. RNAcentral describes it as "partial 16S ribosomal RNA". It matches the Rfam family "Bacterial small subunit ribosomal RNA", at positions 28 to 507 of the family's 1533-position model. The record is from RNAcentral.
AGCGAACGCUGGCGGCAGGCUUAACACAUGCAAGUCGAGCGGGCCUUCCGGGGUCAGCGGCGGACGGGUGAGUAACGCGUGGGAACGUGCCCUCUGGCUCGGAAUACCUCAGGGAAACUUGAGCUAAUACCGGAUACGCUCUUUCUGGGUAGGGCUGGCUGCCGCAGGAUCGGCGCGCGUCUGAUUAGCUGGUUGGUGAGGUAACGGCACGCCAAGGCGACGUUCAGUAGCUGGUCGGGGAGGAGGCCCAACUAGACUUGGGCUGCGGCACGGCCCAGUCUGGUACGGAGCGGAGGAGAAGAGUGUAUUGGGGGAGGGAGGCAGGCGUGAUCCCGCCAUGCCGGGGGAGUCGUGAAGGCCGUAGUGAUGUAAAGCCCGUUUAGCCGGAGCGAUAGUGACGGUACCGGAGGAAUAAGCCCCGGCUAACUUCGUG